GACGAACGCUGGCGGCGUGCUUAACACAUGCAAGUCGAACGGAAAGGCCCUGCUUUUGUGGGGUGCUCGAGUGGCGAACGGGUGAGUAACACGUGAGUAACCUGCCCUUGACUUUGGGAUAACUUCAGGAAACUGGGGCUAAUACCGGAUAGGAGCUCCUGCUGCAUGGAGGGGGUUGGAAAGUUUCGGCGGUUGGGGAUGGACUCGCGGCUUAUCAGCUUGUUGGUGGGGUAGUGGCUUACCAAGGCUUUGACGGGUAGCCGGCCUGAGAGGGUGACCGGCGACCUUGGGACUGAGAUACGGCCCAGACUCCUACGGGAGGCAGCAGUGGGGAAUAUUGCACAAUGGGCGGAAGCCUGAUGCAGCAACGCCGCGUGCGGGAUGACGGCCUUCGGGUUGUAAACCGCUUUCGCCUGUGACGAAGCGUGAGUGACGGUAAUGGGUAAAGAAGCACCGGCUAACUACGUG
RNAcentral lists this ribosomal RNA (468 nucleotides) under uncultured bacterium. RNAcentral describes it as "partial 16S ribosomal RNA". It matches the Rfam family "Bacterial small subunit ribosomal RNA", at positions 28 to 507 of the family's 1533-position model. The record is from RNAcentral.